GCCUAGCCGUAAAUCAAUUAAUUACACCAACCAACGCGAGGGAAUUACGAGCUAUGCUUAAAACCCAAAGGACUUGACGGUGUCCCACCCACCUAGAGGAGCCUGUUCUAUAAUCGAUGAUCCCCGAUACACCUAACCAUUCCUCGCCCAUCAGUCUGUAUACCUCCGUCGAAAGCCUACCAUGUGAACGCUUACAGUAGGCCCAAUGAUCCUCAUCAACACGUCAGGUCAAGGUGCAGCUUACGGAAUGGUAAGCAAUGGGCUACAAUUUCUAAUUUAGAACAAACGAAAGACUCUGUGAAACCUUAGUCAUGAAGGCGGAUUUAGUAGUAAAAGGAAAAUAGAGUGUUCCUUUUAACCCGGCUCUGGGACGCGUACACACCGCC
Molecule: ribosomal RNA, 386 nt
Filed under: Pelophylax hubeiensis (Hubei gold-striped pond frog)
Lineage: Eukaryota; Metazoa; Chordata; Amphibia; Anura; Ranidae
Description: partial 12S ribosomal RNA
Rfam family: Bacterial small subunit ribosomal RNA (bases 40-386)
Source: RNAcentral